GGUCAAGCUAAUAAGGGCUAACGGUGGAUACCUAGGCACC
This 40-nucleotide ribosomal RNA is filed under the name Microcystis aeruginosa. Its description in RNAcentral is "partial 23S ribosomal RNA". The record is from RNAcentral. Lineage: Bacteria; Bacillati; Cyanobacteriota; Cyanophyceae; Chroococcales; Microcystaceae.